CGUAGGGGGCAAGCGUUGUCCGGAUUUAUUGGGCGUAAAGAGCGUGUAGGCGGCCGGAUAGGUCAGCUGUGAAAACUCGAGGCUCAACCUCGAGAUGUCGGCUGAAACCAUUUGGCUAGAGUCCGGAAGAGGAGAAUGGAAUUCCCGGUGUAGCGGUGAAAUGCGCAGAUAUCGGGAAGAACACCCGUGGCGAAGGCGGUUCUCUGGGACGGUACUGACGCUGAGACGCGAAAGCGUGGGGAGCGAACAGGAUUAGAUACCCUGGUAGUCCACGCCGUAAACGAUGGGAACUAGGUGUGGGCGGUGUCGACUCCGUCCGUGCCGAAGCUAACGCAUUAAGUUCCCCGCCUGGGGAGUACGGCCGCAAGGCUA
RNAcentral lists this ribosomal RNA (372 nucleotides) under uncultured organism. RNAcentral's name for it is "bacterial SSU rRNA". It matches the Rfam family "Bacterial small subunit ribosomal RNA", at positions 526 to 896 of the family's 1533-position model. The record is from RNAcentral.